UACGUAGGGUGCGAGCGUUGUCCGGAAUUAUUGGGCGUAAAGAGCUCGUAGGCGGUGUGUCACGUCGGCCGUGAAAACCUGCAGCUUAACUGUGGGCGUGCGGUCGAUACGGGCAUCACUGGAGUUCGGCAGGGGAGACUGGAAUUCCUAGUGUAGCGGUGAAAUGCGCAGAUAUCAGGAGGAACACCGGUGGCGAAGGCGGGUCUCUGGGCCGAUACUGACGCUGAGGAGCGAAAGCGUGGGGAGCAAACAGG
RNAcentral lists this ribosomal RNA (254 nucleotides) under uncultured bacterium. RNAcentral describes it as "partial 16S ribosomal RNA". It matches the Rfam family "Bacterial small subunit ribosomal RNA", at positions 524 to 776 of the family's 1533-position model. The record is from RNAcentral.